CAUUAGAUGGCUGAAAGUAAGUAAUGGUCUCUUAAACCACUCUAUAAUAAAUUAACACCUAUUUCUAAUGA
RNAcentral lists this transfer RNA (71 nucleotides) under Tasgius compressus. RNAcentral describes it as "tRNA-Lys". The record is from RNAcentral. Lineage: Eukaryota; Metazoa; Arthropoda; Insecta; Coleoptera; Staphylinidae.